GACAGAGGGGGCAAGCGUUGCUCGGAAUCACUGGGCGUAAAGGGCGCGUAGGCGGGCUGGCAAGUCAGUCGUGAAAUCUCUCGGCUCAACCGAGAAACGUCGGCUGAUACUGCCGUUCUUGAGGGAUGCAGAGGAGACUGGAAUUCCCGGUGUAGCGGUGAAAUGUGUAGAGAUCGGGAGGAACCCCGGUGGCGAAGGCGGGUCUCUGGGCAUCUCCUGACGCUGAGGCGCGAAAGCGUGGGGAGCAAACGGG
Molecule: ribosomal RNA, 253 nt
Filed under: uncultured bacterium
Lineage: Bacteria
Description: partial 16S ribosomal RNA
Rfam family: Bacterial small subunit ribosomal RNA
Source: RNAcentral